UUUGCGGUACUCUGACCGUGCAAAGGUAGCACAAUCAUUUGCCUUAUAAUUGAAGGCUAGUAUGAAUGGUUUGACAAGAAUAUAGCUGUCUCUUUAUGGCUAUUUAGAAUUUUAUUUAUAGGUGAAGAAGCCUAUAUUUCAUUAAUAGACGAGAAGACCCUAUCGAGCUUCAAAUAAAUUAAUAGAUAUAAAUCAAUUAAAUAAUAACUAAAAUAAAAACUAUUAAAUAUUCUUAGUUAGUUGGGGCGACUGAGGAACAAUAAAAGCUUCCUUUAAGCAUUUUAAUAAACUAUACUAGUUUUAAUCCAAAAACUUUUUGAUCAAAGAAAUUAGCUACCGUAGGGAUAACAGCAUAAUCCCUUUUGAGAGUUCCUAUCGAAAAGGGGGUUUGUGACCUCGAUGUUGGACUAGAAUAUCCCAAAGAUGCAGCAGUCUUUAAAGGUUGGUCUGUUCGACCAUUAAAAUUCUACGUGAAAAA
Molecule: ribosomal RNA, 478 nt
Filed under: Hemifusus colosseus
Lineage: Eukaryota; Metazoa; Mollusca; Gastropoda; Neogastropoda; Melongenidae
Description: partial 16S ribosomal RNA
Rfam family: Bacterial large subunit ribosomal RNA
Source: RNAcentral